RNAcentral lists this ribosomal RNA (683 nucleotides) under uncultured Gammaproteobacteria bacterium. Its description in RNAcentral is "bacterial SSU rRNA". It matches the Rfam family "Bacterial small subunit ribosomal RNA", at positions 56 to 715 of the family's 1533-position model. The record is from RNAcentral. Lineage: Bacteria; Pseudomonadati; Pseudomonadota; Gammaproteobacteria.
UGCAAGUCGAACGGCAGCGCGGGGAGCUUGCUCCCUGGCGGCGAGUGGCGGACGGGUGAGUAAUGCGUAGGAAUCUGCCCAGCGGUGGGGGAUAACCCGAGGAAACUCGGGCUAAUACCGCAUACGUCCUCCUUCCAUAUUGGUUGGGGGGGAAAGCGGGGGACCUUCGGGCCUCGCGCAGCUGGAUGAGCCUACGUCGGAUUAGCUUGUUGGUAGGGUAACGGCUUACCAAGGCGACGAUCCGUAGCUGGUCUGAGAGGAUGAUCAGCCACACUGGGACUGAGACACGGCCCAGACUCCUACGGGAGGCAGCAGUGGGGAAUAUUGGACAAUGGGCGCAAGCCUGAUCCAGCAAUGCCGCGUGUGUGAAGAAGGCCUUCGGGUUGUAAAGCACUUUCAGUAGGGAAGAAAAGCUAGAUGUUAAUACCAUCGAGUUUUGACGUUACUUACAGAAGAAGCACCGGCUAACUCUGUGCCAGCAGCCGCGGUAAUACAGAGGGUGCGAGCGUUAAUCGGAAUUACUGGGCGUAAAGGGCGCGUAGGUGGCUUGGUAAGUUGGAUGUGAAAGCCCUGGGCUUAACCUGGGAAUUGCAUUCGAUACUGCCUCGCUAGAGUAUGGUAGAGGGAAGCGGAAUUCCCGGCGUAGCGGUGAAAUGCGUAGAUAUCGGGAGGAACAUCAGUGG